This 254-nucleotide long non-coding RNA is filed under the name Elaeis guineensis (African oil palm). Its description in RNAcentral is "long non-coding RNA (EGUI_LNC009703)". The record is from RNAcentral. Lineage: Eukaryota; Viridiplantae; Streptophyta; Magnoliopsida; Arecales; Arecaceae.
GAUCUGCUAUUUAAUCUGCAAUUUCUUUCACCAUUUGAAGCAUUUUAUUGCAUUAGAAGCAAGAGAAAAUAAUUUAGACAGAUAAAGAGCCGUUAGAGGAUUUUUAGAAAGCAUAAAAGGCAAUUAAAACGGGCAAAAAAAUAGCCGUUGCUGACAUUUUCAGUCGCAGGGGUCGACUCAUGAGUCGACUCAUGCUUCAGGGGUCGACUCAUGAGUCGACCUCUAUUGCAAAAACCAGAGAAUGCGUUUCUGGA